RNAcentral lists this ribosomal RNA (513 nucleotides) under uncultured bacterium. RNAcentral describes it as "bacterial SSU rRNA". It matches the Rfam family "Bacterial small subunit ribosomal RNA", at positions 552 to 1065 of the family's 1533-position model. The record is from RNAcentral.
UACUGGGCGUAAAGAGCUCGUAGGCGGUUUGUCCCGUCGUCUGUGAAAUCCUCCAGCUUAACUGGGGGCGUGCAGGCGAUACGGGCAGACUUGAGUACUACAGGGGAGACUGGAAUUCCUGGUGUAGCGGUGAAAUGCGCAGAUAUCAGGAGGAACACCGGUGGCGAAGGCGGGUCUCUGGGUAGUAACUGACGCUGAGGAGCGAAAGCAUGGGUAGCGAACAGGAUUAGAUACCCUGGUAGUCCAUGCCGUAAACGGUGGGCGCUAGGUGUGGGGGUCUUCCACGACUUCCGUGCCGUAGCUAACGCAUUAAGCGCCCCGCCUGGGGAGUACGGCCGCAAGGCUAAAACUCAAAGGAAUUGACGGGGGCCCGCACAAGCGGCGGAGCAUGUGGAUUAAUUCGAUGCAACGCGAAGAACCUUACCUAGGCUUGACAUAUACAGGACGGCGGCAGAGAUGUCGUUUCCCUUGUGGCUUGUAUACAGGUGGUGCAUGGUUGUCGUCAGCUCGUGU